UAGGGAAUCUUCCGCAAUGGACGCAAGUCUGACGGAGCAACGCCGCGUGAGUGAAGAAGGAUUUCGGUUCGUAAAACUCUGUUGUUAGAGAAGAACAGCGCAUAGAGUAACUGUUAUGCGUGUGACGGUAUCUAACUAGAAAGCCACGGCUAACUACGUGCCAGCAGCCGCGGUAAUACGUAGGUGGCAAGCGUUGUCCGGAUUUAUUGGGCGUAAAGCGAGCGCAGGCGGUCAAUUAAGUCUGAUGUGAAAGCCCCCGGCUCAACCGGGGAGGGUCAUUGGAAACUGGUUGACUUGAGUGCAGAAGAGGAGAGUGGAAUUCCAUGAGUAGCGGUGAAAUGCGUAGUUAUAUGGAGGAACACCAGUGGCGAAGGCGACUCUCUGGUCUGUAACUGACGCUGAGGCUCGAAAGCGUGGGUAGCAAACAGG
Molecule: ribosomal RNA, 429 nt
Filed under: Bacteroidota bacterium
Lineage: Bacteria; Pseudomonadati; Bacteroidota
Description: Bacteroidetes bacterium partial 16S ribosomal RNA
Rfam family: Bacterial small subunit ribosomal RNA
Source: RNAcentral